This 111-nucleotide small RNA is filed under the name Marmota monax (woodchuck). Lineage: Eukaryota; Metazoa; Chordata; Mammalia; Rodentia; Sciuridae. The record is from RNAcentral.
GCCAAGUGUAGUGGCACACACCUGUAAUCCCAGUUACUUUCUGGGGAGGCUGAGGCAGGAGGAUUGCCAUUUUGAGACCAGUCUGGGAAACUUAGCAAGACCCAGUCUCUA